GACGAACGCUGGCGGCGUGCUUAACACAUGCAAGUCGAACGGAAAGGCCCGGCUUUUGUGGGGUGCUCGAGGUGCGAACGGGUGAGUAACACGUGAGUAACCUGCCCUUGACUUUGGGAUAACUUCAGGAAACUGGGGCUAAUACCGGAUAGGAGCUCCUGCUGCUUGGUGGGGGUUGGAAAGUUUCGGCGGUUGGGGAUGGACUCGCGGCUUAUCAGCUUGUUGGUGGGGUAGUGGAUUACCAAGGCUUUGACAGGUGGCCGGCCUGAGAGGGUGACCGGCUACGUUGGGACUGAGAUACGGCCCAGACUACACUGGGAGGCAGGAGUGGGGAAUAUUGCACAAUGGGAGGAAGCCUGAUGCAACAACGCAGCGUCGGGGAUGACGUCCUUCGGGUUGUAAACCGCUUUUGCUUGUGACGAAGCGUGAGUGACGGUAAUGGGUAAAGAAGCACCGGCUAACUACGUG
Molecule: ribosomal RNA, 468 nt
Filed under: uncultured bacterium
Lineage: Bacteria
Description: partial 16S ribosomal RNA
Rfam family: Bacterial small subunit ribosomal RNA
Source: RNAcentral